This is a long non-coding RNA of Odocoileus virginianus texanus, 388 nucleotides long. RefSeq lists it as uncharacterized. The record is from RefSeq and is a predicted model, not a curated record. Lineage: Eukaryota; Metazoa; Chordata; Mammalia; Artiodactyla; Cervidae.
GUCACCAUGGCCACCAUUCUGGUCUCCCCUCAGGGUUCCGCCGGCUGGUCUUCUCUGUCUGGCUCAGAGGCUCAGGAAAGGGAGAGGGAGGCCAAGCAGCCCAGAGUCUGGAAGUCAUGGCCAUGAACUUUCAGGAAAAUGUGACCCUGGCCAUGGCCGUAUUCACGAUCCUCGCUUCCAUCUACUUCUUCAACAAGGCUCAGCAAUGAGAAGACACAGGACCACCUAACCCAAGAGUCCUGCCUCUGUCCCAACCAUGACUCUGGCCUCUGAGACCAAAUAAAUGUGACUGAGUCAGCACACCCUGCUCCAUCUCACCAGGCUGGCAGGCACACCGCCUCCGGCCAGCUCUGUCUGAGGUCCAGGCUUCUGGAUAAACAUUUCAUUU